GGCUCCAUAGUCAAGAGGUUUAAGACACUACCCUUUCACGGUAGUAGCACGGGUUCGAAUCCCGUUGGAGUCA
RNAcentral lists this transfer RNA (73 nucleotides) under Acetivibrio ethanolgignens. It matches the Rfam family "tRNA". From Rfam's summary of the family: Transfer RNA (tRNA) molecules are approximately 80 nucleotides in length. Their secondary structure includes four short double-helical elements and three loops (D, anti-codon, and T loops). Lineage: Bacteria; Bacillati; Bacillota; Clostridia; Acetivibrionales; Acetivibrionaceae. The record is from Rfam by way of RNAcentral.